RNAcentral lists this ribosomal RNA (588 nucleotides) under Neotiara lens. RNAcentral describes it as "Mitra lens partial 12S ribosomal RNA". Lineage: Eukaryota; Metazoa; Mollusca; Gastropoda; Neogastropoda; Mitridae. The record is from RNAcentral.
AAAGACAGUUAGUUAAUUUUUUUAAGUUUUAUUAAUAUGUAUAAAGAGGUAGAAUUUAAAUAUACAUUCAUGAUUUUAAAAAAACUUUAGUACUGAAGCUGUGAUAGCUCAGAGGGAAACUGGGAUUAGAUACCCCAUUAUUCUUAGCUGUAAAAAAAUGUAAAUUUACCAGAGUACUACGAACCAAAAAAUUUAAAACUCAAAGGGCUUGGCGGUGUUUUAGACUACUUAGGGGAACCUGUCUCGUAAUCGACAAUCCGCGUUAUACCUAACCUUUUUUUGCAUUCAGUUUGUAUACCGUCGUCGCCAGGUAACUUUUAAGAUAUAAACAGUUAGCUAGCUAAAUAUUUAAAUUAAGACGUCAGAUCAAGGUGCAGCUAACAAUAAGGUGUAGAUGGGUUACAAUUACCACAUUUGUAAUAACGGACAACGACUUUAAAAGUACAUUGGAAGGAGGACUUAAAAGUAAAAUAGACUAUAUAAAUAUCUUGAAUAAAGCUCUGAAACGUGUACAAACCGCCCGUCGCUCUCGUUAAAAAAUGAGAUAAGUCGUAACAUAGCAGGGGUAAUGGAAAUUGUCCCUAAACU